UACGGGGGGAGCAAGCGUUGUUCGGAUUUACUGGGCGUAAAGGGCGCGUAGGCGGCCAGCACAAGUCAGUUGUGAAAUCUCCGAGCUUAACUCGGAAAGGUCAACUGAUACUGUGCGGCUAGAGUGCGGAAGGGGCAACUGGAAUUCUUGGUGUAGCGGUGAAAUGCGUAGAUAUCAAGAGGAACACCUGCGGCGAAGGCGGGUUGCUGGGCCGACACUGACGCUGAGGCGCGAAAGCUAGGGGAGCGAACGGG
This 254-nucleotide ribosomal RNA is filed under the name uncultured bacterium. Its description in RNAcentral is "partial 16S ribosomal RNA". It matches the Rfam family "Bacterial small subunit ribosomal RNA", at positions 524 to 776 of the family's 1533-position model. The record is from RNAcentral.